UGCCAGCAGCCGCGGUAAUACGGAGGGUGCGAGCGUUAAUCGGAAUUACUGGGCGUAAAGCGCGCGUAGGCGGUUGUGUAAGUCGGAUGUGAAGGCCCAGGGCUUAACCUUGGAAUUGCAUUCGAAACUGCACAGCUAGAGUAUGGGAGAGGGAAGCGGAAUUUCCGGUGUAGCGGUGAAAUGCGUAGAUAUCGGAAGGAACAUCAGUGGCGAAGGCGGCUUCCUGGACCAAUACUGACGCUGAGGUGCGAAAGCGUGGGGAGCAAACAGGAUUAGAUA
Molecule: ribosomal RNA, 279 nt
Filed under: uncultured bacterium
Lineage: Bacteria
Description: partial 16S ribosomal RNA
Rfam family: Bacterial small subunit ribosomal RNA
Source: RNAcentral